GUCAGAAGUGAAAUCCAAUAGCUCAACUAUUGAACUGCUUUUGAAACUGAUUACCUAGAAUAUGGGAGGGGUAGAUGGAAUUUCUGGUGUANGGGUAAAAUCCGUAGAGAUCAGAAGGAAUACCGAUUGCGAAGGCGAUCUACUGGAACAUUAUUGACGCUGAGACGCGAAAGCGUGGGGAGCAAACAGGAUUAGAUACCCUGGUAGUCCACGCCCUAAACGAUGUACACUAGUUGUUGUGAGGCUCGACCUUGCAGUAAUGCAGUUAACACAUUAAGUGUACCGCCUGGGGAGUACGGUCGCAAGAUUAAAACUCAAAGGAAUAGACGGGGACCCGCACAAGCGGUGGAGCAUGUGGUUUAAUUCGACGAUACACGAAGAACCUUACCUGGACUUGACAUAGUAAGAACUUUCUAGAGAUAGAUUGGUGUCUGCUUGCAGAAACUUAUAUACAGGUGCUGCACGGCUGUCGUCAGCUCGUGUCGUGAGAUGUUGGGUUAAGUCCCGCAAGGGAGCGCAACCCUCGUCAUUAGUUGCUAACAGUUCGGUUGAGAACUCUAAUGAGACGUGCUAUAGGCAAGUAGGAGGAAGGUGAGGAAGACUGUCAAGUCUAUCAUGGCCCUUACGUCCAGGGAUACACACGUGAUACAAUGGGGUAUACAAAGAGCCGCAAUACGGUGACGUGGAGCAAAUCUCAAAAAUAUCUCCCAGUUCGGAUUGUAGUCUGCAACUCGACUACAUGAAGUUGGAAU
RNAcentral lists this ribosomal RNA (752 nucleotides) under uncultured Arcobacter sp. Its description in RNAcentral is "bacterial SSU rRNA". It matches the Rfam family "Bacterial small subunit ribosomal RNA", at positions 587 to 1332 of the family's 1533-position model. The record is from RNAcentral. Lineage: Bacteria; Pseudomonadati; Campylobacterota; Epsilonproteobacteria; Campylobacterales; Arcobacteraceae.